GAAUGCUGACAUAAGUAACGAUAAAGCGGGUGAAAAGCCCGCUCGCCGGAAGACCAAGGGUUCCUGUCCAACGUUAAUCGGGGCAGGGUGAGUCGACCCCUAAGGCGAGGCCGAAAGGCGUAGUCGAUGGGAAACAGGUUAAUAUUCCUGUACUUGGUGUUACUGCGAAGGGGGGACGGAGAAGGCUAUGUUGGCCGGGCGACGGUUGUCCCGGUUUAAGCGUGUAGGCUGGUUUUCCAGGCAAAUCCGGAAAAUCAAGGCUGAGGCGUGAUGACGAGGCACUACGGUGCUGAAGCGACAAAUGCCCUGCUUCCAGGAAAAGCCUCUAAGCAUCAGGUAACAUCAAAUCGUACCCCAAACCGACACAGGUGGUCAGGUAGAGAAUACCAAGGCGCUUGAGAGAACUCGGGUGAAGGAACUAGGCAAAAUGGUGCCGUAACUUCGGGAGAAGGCACGCUGAUAUGUAGGUGAAGCGACUUGCUCGUGGAGCUGAAAUCAGUCGAAGAUACCAGCUGGCUGCAACUGUUUAUUAAAAACACAGCACUGUGCAAACACGAAAGUGGACGUAUACGGUGUGACGCCUGCCCGGUGCCGGAAGGUUAAUUGAUGGGGUUAGCGGUAACGCGAAGCUCUUGAUCGAAGCCCCGGUAAACGGCGGCCGUAACUAUAACGGUCCUAAGGUAGCGAAAUUCCUUGUCGGGUAAGUUCCGACCUGCACGAAUGGCGUAAUGAUGGCCAGGCUGUCUCCACCCGAGACUCAGUGAAAUUGAACUCGCUGUGAAGAUGCAGUGUACCCGCGGCAAGACGGAAAGACCCCGUGAACCUUUACUAUAGCUUGACACUGAACAUUGAGCCUUGAUGUGUAGGAUAGGUGGGAGGCUUUGAAGUGUGGACGCCAGUCUGCAUGGAGCCGACCUUGAAAUACCACCCUUUAAUGUUUGAUGUUCUAACGUGGGCCCCUUACCGGGGUUGCGGACAGUGUCUGGUGGGUAGUUUGACUGGGGCGGUCUCCUCCUAAAGAGUAACGGAGGAGCACGAAGGUUGGCUAAUCCUGGUCGGACAUCAGGAGGUUAGUGCAAUGGCAUAAGCCAGCUUGACUGCGAGCGUGACGGCGCGAGCAGGUGCGAAAGCAGGUCAUAGUGAUCCGGUGGUUCUGAAUGGAAGGGCCAUCGCUCAACGGAUAAAAGGUACUCCGGGGAUAACAGGCUGAUACCGCCCAAGAGUUCAUAUCGACGGCGGUGUUUGGCACCUCGAUGUCGGCUCAUCACAUCCUGGGGCUGAAGUAGGUCCCAAGGGUAUGGCUGUUCGCCAUUUAAAGUGGUACGCGAGCUGGGUUUAGAACGUCGUGAGACAGUUCGGUCCCUAUCUGCCGUGGGCGCUGGAGAACUGAGGGGGGCUGCUCCUAGUACGAGAGGACCGGAGUGGACGCAUCACUGGUGUUCGGGUUGUCAUGCCAAUG
This 1459-nucleotide ribosomal RNA is filed under the name Escherichia coli. RNAcentral's name for it is "partial 23S ribosomal RNA". It matches the Rfam family "Bacterial large subunit ribosomal RNA", at positions 1292 to 2734 of the family's 2925-position model. Lineage: Bacteria; Pseudomonadati; Pseudomonadota; Gammaproteobacteria; Enterobacterales; Enterobacteriaceae. The record is from RNAcentral.